This 1778-nucleotide long non-coding RNA is filed under the name Salmo trutta (river trout). RNAcentral's name for it is "lncRNA (ENSSTUG00000045311.1)". The record is from RNAcentral. Lineage: Eukaryota; Metazoa; Chordata; Actinopteri; Salmoniformes; Salmonidae.
GUUUCUGGUUCCUCUAAAUACUGGUAACCCUCAUGGGACAGUGAGAAUAAAUGGGUCAAGGAUAAUCUGGCAUGCUUAAAUCCCUACAUGCUUCAAAGGGUGCCAACUGUUUUGUAGGCUGUUUUAACUCUGUUCUCUGUGUAUCCAUGGAUACAGGCUCACCACUGGAGGGUGCUAUAGACCUACAAGAGGAAGAGAUGGAACAGUGUCUCAGGUCUGACGUUCACCCUGGAUCCCUCUGCUGGUGCUCCAUCUCUCCACCUCCUCCCUCACUGUGACCUUCCACGGACCAAGCCCUCCGUCACUACCCUCUCGUCACCAUAGCAACAGGGUCACGGGUUCAGUAUCCCAGGAGUCUGCCCCCCAGCUCCUCCCUCAGGUGUGUGGGGACGUGGUCAGGGGCCAGUUCUACUGGGAGGUGGAUGUCUGCAACAGCACUCUGUACAGGAUAGGUGAGGAUGUGCACUCUACUCCACCUGGCCAUGAGUUAAUGGUAGUGGCAGAACAAGUACAAAUCCCUGCUUUGAUAAUAAUACUCUUAGCCUCUGGCAUGCUGAUCUAUUUCUACUGACAGAUGGGCUACAUUUCUUACACAUAAUCAUGUGGCAGUUGUAGCCUACAAAUAUAUACAGGCAGUCUUGUGCAAAUACUCCCACACACACAUGAUAUUGUCCCUAGGGCAUACAUGACACAGGCUCUGUCCUACAUAAAGUUCAUUCACGUCCUUUAACUCUGCUCUGUGGUGCCGCCCAGUGGUGAACAGGAUGACGGCAUGGAUUUCCCAGCGCUUGGCUGAACCACUAACAAUUAAAUUGUUUCUUUAACAAUUUCAUUUUGGCUUACAAGGCAUGUUGACAUCUGCUCUCUGUAAACAUCAGAAAGCUCUAAUAAUUUGGCCCAGCAACAAGCCAUAAACAAUCUGUUGAUUUGAAUCAAAUAUGACAGAAAUGUGCAGCUUCAUCAACUGUAGAGAGUCAGGCAAAAUACGGUAUUAGUGGUUGUUGACCAGGAUGACUGGCACUGUCGACCGAACAUAGGAUGGGAACAGCAUUGAUAUUUUACAUAUUAUUGCUCACUCGUGCCUAUCCCACAUGAAAAAAUACUACGGUUUGCUAUAGAAUGCUACAGUACUUACUAUAGAAUGGUGUAGUAUACUAUUGUAAAUACUACAGACCACAAACACUCCAGUAAAUACUACAGUAAUGUUCGCAAAAACACUACUGUAAUUACUAUAGUAUAUACUACAGUAUUUCAUUUGCAUAUACCCUGCCCAUUCCCCUCCUAUAUCCCAAUUUGUUCCACCCAUAAGUGACAAAUGUUUCUCUUAUGGUUGGCACCAAUAUUAUUGUGUUCCCUACAUAGCAAAGAGCAGAACCUGACUGUCCAUUCAGACCUCAGUUCUACCUACCUAUAGGUUAUGGAAAAUUUGCUCUUUAAAGGUUUUGUCCAUUAGGGUUCCACAAGUAUAUUACAGUCUGCAAAAAAUACUACAGUAAUUACUAUGGUAUAUUGUUUUCCUUACUACAGUAUUUAUACCAUAGUAAACUGUAACAACUACAGUCUUCAUGGGGUCUUCCUGGGGCGUACAUAUAACAACUUUUUGUUUUUAAGUACAGUGACUGCCACGUACUGCCACUACUAAAUGCAAAUAGGGGAAACACAGGGUGCCUGGGGGCCAGUUUGUUCCUGCUCCAAUCAACAUGUUUUAGUCAGGCCAAACGAGGCAACAACUAUGUAGCUUUGUUGAGUGCAGAAAAAGUUGGGCAUAAAGACCACCC